GAUGAACGCUGGCGGCGUGCUUAACACAUGCAAGUCGAACGGGAAUUAUUUUAUUGAAACUUCGGUCGAUUUAAUUUAAUUCUAGUGGCGGACGGGUGAGUAACGCGUGGGUAACCUGCCUUAUACAGGGGGAUAACAGUCAGAAAUGGCUGCUAGUACCGCAUAAGCGCACAGAGCUGCAUGGCUCAGUGUGAAAAACUCCGGUGGUAUAAGAUGGACCCGCGUUGGAUUAGCUGGUUGGUGGGGUAACGGCCCACCAAGGCGACGAUCCAUAGCCGGCCUGAGAGGGUGAACGGCCACAUUGGGACUGAGACACGGCCCAGACUCCUACGGGAGGCAGCAGUGGGGAAUAUUGCACAAUGGGGGAAACCCUGAUGCAGCGACGCCGCGUGAAGGAAGAAGUAUCUCGGUAUGUAAACUUCUAUCAGCAGGGAAGAUAGUGACGGUACCUGACUAAGAAGCCCCGGCUAACUACGUG
RNAcentral lists this ribosomal RNA (478 nucleotides) under uncultured bacterium. RNAcentral describes it as "partial 16S ribosomal RNA". It matches the Rfam family "Bacterial small subunit ribosomal RNA", at positions 28 to 507 of the family's 1533-position model. The record is from RNAcentral.